AAAACCAAGAAAAAUGCUUAUUUGGGUCCCUUUUUGGCCCCUAAUUCCUAAACUGUUGGGACCUAAACUCCCAAAAUCAAUACAAACCUUCCUUUUGUAGUCAUUAACAUUGUGUUUAAAUUUCAUUGAUUUCUAUUUACUUAAACUAAAGUUAUUGUGCGAAAACCAAGAAUAAUGCUUAUUUGGGCCCUUUUUUGGCCCCUAAUUCCUAAACUGUUGAAACCAAAACUCCCAAAAUCAAUCCCAACCGUUCUUUUGUGGUCAUAAACCUUGUGUCAAAAUUUCAUAGAUUUCUAUUAACUUAAACUAAAGUUAUAGCGCGAAAACCAAGAAAAUGCUUAUUUGGGCCUUUUUUGGCCCCUUAUUCCUUAAAUGUUGGGACCAAAACUCCCAAAAUCAAUACCAACCUUCCUUUUGUGGUCAUAAACCUUGUGUUAAAAUUUCAUAGAUUUCCAUUCACUUUUACUAAAGUUAGAGUGCGAAAACUAAAAGUAUUUGGACGGCGACGCCAACGUGAUAGCAAUAUACGACGAAAAAUUUUUCAAAUUUUGCGGUCGUAUAAAAAG
This 566-nucleotide long non-coding RNA is filed under the name Mytilus galloprovincialis (Mediterranean mussel). Lineage: Eukaryota; Metazoa; Mollusca; Bivalvia; Mytilida; Mytilidae. The record is from RNAcentral.